AUGGGGUCUGACUUAAGUCAAAAGACGGCAGGGCGUCCUUCCCAGGAGGAGCCUGAAGGCAGUGACACAGACCUCAAGGACUCCAGAAACUUGACUCUCCCCUCUUGCCCAGAGGGUUUACUUCUCUCUGCAAGAUUCUGCCUGGAAAGAGAUCUCUCUCAAUAUCCUCUGCUGACCCUUGGCAUCCUCACAGACAGCAGAGAACAAAGACAAGCAUUAGACCUGCCCUCCAUGCACAUUUCCUGCAGACACAGCUCCAGCCGACAGCCAGCAGGAGACAGGGCAGGAAGUGCAGAUGCCUUCCUCCGGAGACCUCAGGGGGCAUGUCUCCAGAGACCGCCUGCCUUAUCCCUCCCUCCUGAAGAAGGCCUUCUGAGCCUGCAGCAGCCUUCUUCCUUUCUCCAGCUAUCCACCUUUCCGUGGGCCUCCCCACCACUGUUGUUGUGGAGUCGCUUCAGUUGUGUCUGA
This 468-nucleotide long non-coding RNA is filed under the name Phascolarctos cinereus (koala). RNAcentral's name for it is "lncRNA (ENSPCIG00000013975.2)". Lineage: Eukaryota; Metazoa; Chordata; Mammalia; Diprotodontia; Phascolarctidae. The record is from RNAcentral.